RNAcentral lists this small RNA (29 nucleotides) under Bombyx mori (domestic silkworm). RNAcentral describes it as "ovarian small RNA-19914". The record is from RNAcentral. Lineage: Eukaryota; Metazoa; Arthropoda; Insecta; Lepidoptera; Bombycidae.
UAAUUGAUGACUUCCUGCUCGACGAAAAC